UCUUCCCCUGCAGAUUAGUAGCGCGAGUUCUCAAAUUUAUUCAGUAAGCUGUAAAGGAAACUCUACUUUGGCAGCCGAGCACUUCAUUUUAUCUGUGGACCAGGCAAUUGUGAAUGGCCAUAUCACUAUCUUCAGCGACGCACUUAUCCUGAUGUUUGGCUCUUACUACUGCACGAACAUUUCUUAUCCAGUAGCCCAGGCAGCAACCUUGGAAUUCUUGCAACGAUGCCUUAAGAUAAACCCCGACAAGGGAUCCAAAGUGGAGUGGAACAGUCAAUCCAAAGGUUCUGACGUUGAUCGCCAAAAUUGCGGA
Molecule: long non-coding RNA, 313 nt
Organism: Pelmatolapia mariae (spotted tilapia)
Lineage: Eukaryota; Metazoa; Chordata; Actinopteri; Cichliformes; Cichlidae
Exons: 3
Source: RefSeq, a predicted model, not a curated record